This 497-nucleotide ribosomal RNA is filed under the name uncultured bacterium. RNAcentral describes it as "partial 16S ribosomal RNA". It matches the Rfam family "Bacterial small subunit ribosomal RNA", at positions 28 to 507 of the family's 1533-position model. The record is from RNAcentral.
GAUGAACGCUGGCGGCGUGCCUAAUACAUGCAAGUCGAGCGAACAGGCGAGGAGCUUGCUCCUCUGACGUUAGCGGCGGACGGGUGAGUAACACGUGGAUAACCUACCUAUAAGACUGGGAUAACUUCGGGAAACCGGAGCUAAUACCGGAUAAUAUAUUGAACCGCAUGGUUCAAUAGUGGAAGACGGUUUUGCUGUCACUUAUAGAUGGAUCCGCGCCGCAUUAGCUAGUUGGUAAGGUAACGGCUUACCAAGGCAACGAUGCGUAGCCGACCUGAGAGGGUGAUCGGCCCAACUGGAACUGAGACACGGGCCAGACUCCUACGGGAGGCAGCAGUUGGGAAACUUCCCCAAUGGGCGGAAGCCUGACCGAGCAAACGCGCGUGGGGGAUGAAGGGCUUCGGAUCGUAAAACUCUGUUAUUAGGGAAGAACAAAUGUGUAAGUAACUAUGCACGUCUUGACGGUACCUAAUCAGAAAGCCACGGCUAACUACGUG